ACGAACGCUGGCGGCGUGCCUAAUACAUGCAAGUAGAACGCUGAAGAGAGGAGCUUGCUCUUCUUGGAUGAGUUGCGAACGGGUGAGUAACGCGUAGGUAACCUGCCUUGUAGCGGGGGAUAACUAUUGGAAACGAUAGCUAAUACCGCAUAACAAUGGAUGACACAUGUCAUUUAUUUGAAAGGGGCAAUUGCUCCACUACAAGAUGGACCUGCGUUGUAUUAGCUAGUAGGUGAGGUAAUGGCUCACCUAGGCGACGAUACAUAGCCGACCUGAGAGGGUGAUCGGCCACACUGGGACUGAGACACGGCCCAGACUCCUACGGGAGGCAGCAGUAGGGAAUCUUCGGCAAUGGGGGCAACCCUGACCGAGCAACGCCGCGUGAGUGAAGAAGGUUUUCGGAUCGUAAAGCUCUGUUGUAAGUCAAGAACGGGUGUGAGAGUGGAAAGUUCACACUGUGACGGUAGCUUACCAGAAAGGGACGGCUAACUACGUGCCAGCAGCCGCGGUAAUACGUAGGUCCCGAGCGUUGUCCGGAUUUAUUGGGCGUAAAGCGAGCGCAGGCGGUUUGAUAAGUCUGAAGUUAAAGGCUGUGGCUCAACCAUAGUUCGCUUUGGAAACUGUCAAACUUGAGUGCAGAAGGGGAGAGUGGAAUUCCAUGUGUAGCGGUGAAAUGCGUAGAUAUAUGGAGGAACACCGGUGGCGAAAGCGGCUCUCUGGUCUGUAACUGACGCUGAGGCUCGAAAGCGUGGGGAGCGAACAGGAUUAGAUACCCUGGUAGUCCACGCCGUAAACGAUGAGUGCUAGGUGUUGGAUCCUUUCCGGGAUUCAGUGCCGCAGCUAACGCAUUAAGCACUCCGCCUGGGGAGUACGACCGCAAGGUUGAAACUCAAAGGAAUUGACGGGGGCCCGCACAAGCGGUGGAGCAUGUGGUUUAAUUCGAAGCAACGCGAAGAACCUUACCAGGUCUUGACAUCCCGAUGCUAUUUCUAGAGAUAGAAAGUUACUUCGGUACAUCGGUGACAGGUGGUGCAUGGUUGUCGUCAGCUCGUGUCGUGAGAUGUUGGGUUAAGUCCCGCAACGAGCGCAACCCCUAUUGUUAGUUGCCAUCAUUCAGUUGGGCACUCUAGCGAGACUGCCGGUAAUAAACCGGAGGAAGGUGGGGAUGACGUCAAAUCAUCAUGCCCCUUAUGACCUGGGCUACACACGUGCUACAAUGGUUGGUACAACGAGUUGCGAGUCGGUGACGGCGAGCUAAUCUCUUAAAGCCAAUCUCAGUUCGGAUUGUAGGCUGCAACUCGCCUACAUGAAGUCGGAAUCGCUAGUAAUCGCGGAUCAGCACGCCGCGGUGAAUACGUUCCCGGGCCUUGUACACACCGCCCGUCACACCACGAGAGUUUGUAACACCCGAAGUCGGUGAGGUAACCUUUUGGAGCCAGCCGCCUAAGGUGGGACAGAUGAUUGGGGUGAAG
Molecule: ribosomal RNA, 1472 nt
Filed under: Streptococcus thermophilus
Lineage: Bacteria; Bacillati; Bacillota; Bacilli; Lactobacillales; Streptococcaceae
Description: bacterial SSU rRNA
Rfam family: Bacterial small subunit ribosomal RNA
Source: RNAcentral